This 486-nucleotide ribosomal RNA is filed under the name uncultured bacterium. Its description in RNAcentral is "bacterial SSU rRNA". It matches the Rfam family "Bacterial small subunit ribosomal RNA", at positions 34 to 518 of the family's 1533-position model. The record is from RNAcentral.
CGCUGGCGGCGUGCCUAAUACAUGCAAGUCGAACGAACUGUGGAAAGCUUGCUUUCAGAGUUAGUGGCGAACGGGUGAGUAACACGUAAGUAACCUAGCUAUUAGACGAGGAUAACUACUGGAAACGGUAGCUAAGACUGGAUAUGAUAGAAAUAUUUAAAGGAUGCUAAGGCAUCGCUAAUAGAGGGGCUUGCGGCGCAUUAGCUAGUUGGUAGGGUAAAAGCCAACCAAGGCGAUGAUGCGUAGCCGACCUGAGAGGGUGACCGGCCACACUGGGACUGAGACACGGCCCAGACUCCUACGGGAGGCAGCAGUAGGGAAUCUUCGGCAAUGGACGGAAGUCUGACCGAGCAACGCCGCGUGAAGUGAAGAAAGUUUUCGGAUUGUAAAGCUCUGUUAUUAGGGAAGAAAGGCUCUAGGAGGAAAUGCUUAGGGAUUGACGGUACCUAAUGAGGAAGCCACGGCUAACUACGUGCCAGCAGCAGC